RNAcentral lists this long non-coding RNA (565 nucleotides) under Monodelphis domestica (gray short-tailed opossum). RNAcentral describes it as "lncRNA (ENSMODG00000049645.1)". The record is from RNAcentral. Lineage: Eukaryota; Metazoa; Chordata; Mammalia; Didelphimorphia; Didelphidae.
UAGGGUCAUAAUGCUCAUCAGUAGAGAGAGUUCCCACAUAAUGAGUACCCCUUGCCAAUGAUAUCACUUAUCUUUUAUGUAUUUAUCUGAUUAUAUAGUUAUCCAAAAGUAAGCUUCUAAUGCCUUAUCUCUUUUGUUCUUGAUUGUCUACAUGUCUGCUCUGCAUUGGAUUAUGGAUCAUUUCUUCUUCCUGAAUGACUUGAUCAGCUCUACUACUGUAUAAUUUGUCCUGUGGGGAAAACUGCAUUGAUUGUUGAAGAGACCAAAGGAAUUUUAAAUCAGAACUGGAGAAGGAACUGGCAAACCACUCCAGUCUCUUUGUCAAGAAAAUCCAAAUGGGGUCACCAAGAGUCAGCCACACCUGAAAUGACUAAACAACAAUAUUAUAGAGAAAGAAAAAAAGAUGUUCCUUAAUGCUCCAUACCAAAGAAGGUACACUCUCCUGAAUUAUUCUCCUUUUCUUUUUCUGAGACAGGACAUUAAAACAAACUGAAAAAUACUCUCUACUUUGAAAUCUAAAUUUUUCACUAAUAAAUAUGAUUAGUAUGAGUGAUCUCUGUUUAUA